ACUCUGGUAUUGAUUGGUGCUUGCAUCAUGAUUUACAUUUGAGUGAGUGGCGAACUGGUGAGUAACACGUGGGAAACCUGCCCAGAAGCGGGGGAUAACACCUGGAAACAGAUGCUAAUACCGCAUAACAACUUGGACCGCAUGGUCCGAGCUUGAAAGAUGGCUUCGGCUAUCACUUUUGGAUGGUCCCGCGGCGUAUUAGCUAGAUGGUGGGGUAACGGCUCACCAUGGCAAUGAUACGUAGCCGACCUGAGAGGGUAAUCGGCCACAUUGGGACUGAGACACGGCCCAAACUCCUACGGGAGGCAGCAGUAGGGAAUCUUCCACAAUGGACGAAAGUCUGAUGGAGCAACGCCGCGUGAGUGAAGAAGGGUUUCGGCUCGUAAAACUCUGUUGUUAAAGAAGAACAUAUCUGAGAGUAACUGUUCAGGUAUUGACGGUAUUUAACCAGAAAGCCACGGCUAACUACGUGCCAGCAGCCGCGGUAAUACGUAGAUGGCAAGCGUUGUCCGGNNAUUUAUUGGGCGUAAAGCGAGCGCAGGCGGUUUUUUCAAGUCUGAUGUGAAAGCCUUCGGCUCAACCGAAGAAGUGCAUCGGAAACUGGGAAACUUGAGUGCAGAAGAGGACAGUGGAACUCCAUGUGUAGCGGUGAAAUGCGUAGAUAUAUGGAAGAACACCAGUGGCGAAAGCGGCUGUCUGGUCUGUAACUGACGCUGAGGCUCGAAAGUAUGGGUAGCAAACAGGAUUAGAUACCCUGGUAGUCCAUACCGUAAACGAUGAAUGCUAAGUGUUGGAGGGUUUCCGCCCUUCAGUGCUGCAGCUAACGCAUUAAGCAUUCCGCCUGGGGAGUACGGCCGCAAGGCUGAAACUCAAAGGAAUUGACGGGGGCCCGCACAAGCGGUGGAGCAUGUGGUUUAAUUCGAAGCUACGCGAAGAACCUUACCAGGUCUUGACAUACUAUGCAAAUCUAAGAGAUUAGACGUUCCCUUCGGGGACAUGGAUACAGGUGGUGCAUGGUUGUCGUCAGCUCGUGUCGUGAGAUGUUGGGUUAAGUCCCGCAACGAGCGCAACCCUUAUUAUCAGUUGCCAGCAUUAAGUUGGGCACUCUGGUGAGACUGCCGGUGACAAACCGGAGGAAGGUGGGGAUGACGUCAAAUCAUCAUGCCCCUUAUGACCUGGGCUACACACGUGCUACAAUGGAUGGUACAACGAGUUGCGAACUCGCGAGAGUAAGCUAAUCUCUUAAAGCCAUUCUCAGUUCGGAUUGUAGGCUGCAACUCGCCUACAUGAAGUCGGAAUCGCUAGUAAUCGCGGAUCAGCAUGCCGCGGUGAAUACGUUCCCGGGCCUUGUACACACCGCCCGUCACACCAUGAGAGUUUGUAACACCCAAAGUCGGU
This 1398-nucleotide ribosomal RNA is filed under the name Lactiplantibacillus plantarum. RNAcentral describes it as "bacterial SSU rRNA". It matches the Rfam family "Bacterial small subunit ribosomal RNA", at positions 66 to 1431 of the family's 1533-position model. Lineage: Bacteria; Bacillati; Bacillota; Bacilli; Lactobacillales; Lactobacillaceae. The record is from RNAcentral.